CAGUCGCCGCGGGAAUACAGAGGGUGCGAGCGUUAAUCGGAUUUACUGGGCGUAAAGCGUGCGUAGGCGGCUUCUUAAGUCGGAUGUGAAAUCCCUGAGCUUAACUUAGGAAUUGCAUUUGAUACUGGGAAGCUAGAGUAUGGGAGAGGAUGGUAGAAUUCCAGGUGUAGCGGUGAAAUGCGUAGAGAUCUGGAGGAAUACCGAUGGCGAAGGCAGCCAUCUGGCCUAAUACUGACGCUGAGGUACGAAAGCAUGGGGAGCAAACAGGAUUAGAUACCCGAGUAGUCCCUGUCUCUUAUAA
RNAcentral lists this ribosomal RNA (301 nucleotides) under uncultured bacterium. RNAcentral describes it as "partial 16S ribosomal RNA". It matches the Rfam family "Bacterial small subunit ribosomal RNA", at positions 509 to 809 of the family's 1533-position model. The record is from RNAcentral.